UGGGAAAACACAACAAUCUGCAAGGGAGA
Molecule: non-coding RNA, 29 nt
Filed under: Mus musculus (house mouse)
Lineage: Eukaryota; Metazoa; Chordata; Mammalia; Rodentia; Muridae
Source: RNAcentral